This 692-nucleotide ribosomal RNA is filed under the name uncultured bacterium. RNAcentral describes it as "bacterial SSU rRNA". It matches the Rfam family "Bacterial small subunit ribosomal RNA", at positions 631 to 1324 of the family's 1533-position model. The record is from RNAcentral.
AACUUUUCAGCUAGAGUAUGAUAGAGGAAAGCAGAAUUUCUAGUGUAGAGGUGAAAUUCGUAGAUAUUAGAAAGAAUACCAAUUGCGAAGGCAGCUUUCUGGAUCAUUACUGACACUGAGGAACGAAAGCAUGGGUAGCGAAGAGGAUUAGAUACCCUCGUAGUCCAUGCCGUAAACGAUGUGUGUUAGACGUUGGAAAUUUAUUUUCAGUGUCGCAGGGAAACCGAUAAACACACCGCCUGGGGAGUACGACCGCAAGGUUAAAACUCAAAUGAAUUGACGGGGACCCGCACAAGUAGUGGAGCAUGUGGUUUAAUUCGAAGAUACGCGCAGAACCUUACCAACACUUGACAUGUUCGUCGCGACUCUAAGAGAUUAGAGUUUUCGGUUCGGCCGGACGAAACACAGGUGCUGCAUGGCUGUCGUCAGCUCGUGUCGUGAGAUGUUGGGUUAAGUCCCGCAACGAGCGCAACCCUCACUUUUAGUUGCCAUCAUUAAGUUGGGCACUCUGAAAGAACUGCCAGUGAUAAGCUGGAGGAAGGUGGGGAUGACGUCAAGUCCUCAUGGCCCUUACGUGUUGGGCUACACACGUGCUACAAUGGUAUCUACAACAGGAAGCAAGACUGCGAAGUUAAGCAAAUCCCUAAAAGAUACCUCAGUUCGGAUUGCACUCUGCAACUCGAGUGCAUGAA